RNAcentral lists this ribosomal RNA (253 nucleotides) under uncultured bacterium. Its description in RNAcentral is "partial 16S ribosomal RNA". It matches the Rfam family "Bacterial small subunit ribosomal RNA", at positions 524 to 776 of the family's 1533-position model. The record is from RNAcentral.
UACGUAGGGGGCAAGCGUUGUCCGGAUUUACUGGGCGUAAAGAGCGUGUAGGCGGCCACGCAGGUCCGUUGUGAAAACUGGAGGCUCAACUUCCAGCCGUCGACGGAAACCGUGUGGCUAGAGUCCGGAAGAGGAGAGUGGAAUUCCUGGUGUAGCGGUGAAAUGCGCAGAUAUCAGGAGGAACACCCGUGGCGAAAGCGGCUCUCUGGGACGGUACUGACGCUGAGACGCGAAAGCGUGGGGAGCAAACAGG